UGGGGAAUAUUGCACAAUGGGCGCAAGCCUGAUGCAGCCAUGCCGCGUGUGUGAAGAAGGCCUUCGGGUUGUAAAGCACUUUCAGCGAGGAGGAAGGUGGUGAACUUAAUACGUUCAUCAAUUGACGUUACUCGCAGAAGAAGCACCGGCUAACUCCGUGCCAGCAGCCGCGGUAAUACGGAGGGUGCAAGCGUUAAUCGGAAUUACUGGGCGUAAAGCGCACGCAGGCGGUUUGUUAAGUCAGAUGUGAAAUCCCCGGGCUCAACCUGGGAACUGCAUUUGAAACUGGCAAGCUAGAGUCUCGUAGAGGGGGGUAGAAUUCCAGGUGUAGCGGUGAAAUGCGUAGAGAUCUGGAGGAAUACCGGUGGCGAAGGCGGCCCCCUGGACGAAGACUGACGCUCAGGUGCGAAAGCGUGGGGCAGCAAACAGGAUUAGAUACCCUGGUAGUCCACGCUGUAAACGAUGUCGAUUUUGGAGGUUGUGCCCUUGAGGCGUGGCUUCCGGAGCUAACGCGUUAAAUCGACCGCCUGGGGAGUACGGCCGCAAGGUUAAAACUCAAAUGAAUUG
Molecule: ribosomal RNA, 567 nt
Filed under: uncultured bacterium
Lineage: Bacteria
Description: partial 16S ribosomal RNA
Rfam family: Bacterial small subunit ribosomal RNA
Source: RNAcentral